GAUGAACGCUGGCGGCGUGCCUAAUACAUGCAAGUAGAACGCUGAAGGAGGAGCUUGCUCUUCUGGAUGAGUUGCGAACGGGUGAGUAACGCGUAGGUAACCUGCCUGGUAGCGGGGGAUAACUAUUGGAAACGAUAGCUAAUACCGCAUGACAACAGUUAUUGCAUGAUAACUGUUUAAAAGGGGCAACUGCUCCACUACCAGAUGGACCUGCGUUGUAUUAGCUAGUUGGUGAGGUAACGGCUCACCAAGGCGACGAUACAUAGCCGACCUGAGAGGGUGAGCGGCCACACUGGGACGGAGACACGGCCCAGACUGCUACGGGAGGCAGCAGUAGGGAAUCGUCGGCAAUGGACGGAAGUCUGACCGAGCAACGCCGCGUGAGGGAAGAAGGUUUUCGGAUCGUAAAGCUCUGUUGUAAGAGAAGAACGAGUGUGAGAGUGGAAAGUUCACACUGUGACGGUAUCUUACCAGAAAGGGACGGCUAACUACGUG
RNAcentral lists this ribosomal RNA (495 nucleotides) under uncultured bacterium. Its description in RNAcentral is "partial 16S ribosomal RNA". It matches the Rfam family "Bacterial small subunit ribosomal RNA", at positions 28 to 507 of the family's 1533-position model. The record is from RNAcentral.